Molecule: ribosomal RNA, 198 nt
Filed under: uncultured bacterium
Lineage: Bacteria
Description: partial 16S ribosomal RNA
Rfam family: Bacterial small subunit ribosomal RNA
Source: RNAcentral
ACGCUCGACACCUACAGGAGGCAGCAGUGGGGAAUAUUGCACAAUGGGGGAAACCCUGAUGCAGCGACGCCGCGUGGAGGAAGAAGGUCUUCGGAUUGUAAACUCCUGUUGUUGGGGAAAAAGNGGAUGGUACCCAACAAGGAAGUGACGGCUAACUACGUGCCAGCAGCCGCGGUAAUCUGAGCGGGCUGGCAAGGC